Molecule: long non-coding RNA, 606 nt
Filed under: Sus scrofa (pig)
Lineage: Eukaryota; Metazoa; Chordata; Mammalia; Artiodactyla; Suidae
Description: lncRNA (ENSSSCG00070008781.1)
Source: RNAcentral
CUUUAACCCACUGUGCAGGCUGGUGAUCAAACCUGUGUCCUGGAGCUGCAUAGAUCCCACAGAUCCCAUUGCACCACAGUGAGAACUCCUUCUUCUUCCUUAAAUUACUCUUUCUUUCCUAAGAGUUUUAUUGUCCCUCGGAGAAGAGAAAACUGCACGGCCGUGCCCUUUGAGACUGCUUUGAGACCUUGCUCUCAACAAAGAGUAAAGUAUUUAGAGCUUCUAAUUCCACUUUUCCUUAAGGGAGGAUGAACUCUGUAGCAAUUACCUUGUGACUUCUGAGGAUCACCUUUGGAAGGCUUGGUGUUACGAACAUUGGGAUAAGAAUUUUACAAAACAUCAAAAAGGUAUUGAAUUGAUAAGUAAAAGAACUGCCUUUUGAGCGUUGCAUGAGAGGAAAAUGUACAAUUUCAGAGUGGGAUUGGGUGUGCAAGGAUGAGUAACCGAUUGCCCAAUAACUUUCAGUCUCUUUCCCUUUUAGGGGCCUGUGUUAUAUUAAGAGUAUUAUAGUUGACAGCUAGGAUGAAAACAGGUCAUCAUUUCCAAAUGAUUUCACAAUCACAGAUGUAACCAGGAUUCUUUAUAAUAAAAAAGCUUAUGUUGGCA